This 369-nucleotide ribosomal RNA is filed under the name Triticum aestivum (bread wheat). RNAcentral's name for it is "partial small subunit ribosomal RNA". The record is from RNAcentral. Lineage: Eukaryota; Viridiplantae; Streptophyta; Magnoliopsida; Poales; Poaceae.
CUCGACAAACGACCCAAGUCCACCUCUUUCAAACCAGCGAACGAAAUAGUCAAAUUCCAGGUCCACCCAACGGACCCUACAAAAACAACAUCCAUUGGUGCACAGCUGAACCCCACAAUAGACGUCGCACUGCGAGAGUUCUUGCGUGAGAAUUGGGACAUCUUCGCCUGGCAUCCUUCAGACAAGCCAGGUAUCCCACGCAGGCUGGCCGAACAUAGCCUAAACAUACUGAAGGGAUACAAGCCGGUCAAGCAGACUCUUUGGCGCUUUUUAGAACCUAAGCGACAAGCCAUGGGAGAAGAGCUAGCCAAGUUACCUGAGGCCGGAUUCAUCAGAGAAAUAAAACAUCCGGACUGGCUAGCAAACCUA